CUGGGCCUAGGGAGGCAGCAGUGGGGAAUAUUGGACAAUGGGGGGAACCCUGAUCCAGCGACGCCGCGUGAGUGAAGAAGUAUUUCGGUGUGUAAAGCUCUAUCAGCAGGGAAGAAAGAAAUGACGGUACCUGACUAAGAAGCCCCGGCUAACUACGUGCCAGCAGCCGCGGUAAUACGUAGGGGGCAAGCGUUAUCCGGAUUUACUGGGUGUAAAGGGAGCGUAGACGGCAGUGCAAGUCUGAAGUGAAAGGCGGGGGCCCAACCCCCGGACUGCUUUGGAAACUGUGCUGCUGGAGUGCAGGA
This 305-nucleotide ribosomal RNA is filed under the name uncultured bacterium. Its description in RNAcentral is "bacterial SSU rRNA". It matches the Rfam family "Bacterial small subunit ribosomal RNA", at positions 331 to 653 of the family's 1533-position model. The record is from RNAcentral.